GAUGAACGCUGGCGGCGUGCCUAAUACAUGCAAGUCGAGCGAACAGAUGAGGAGCUUGCUCCUCUGACGUUAGCGGCGGACGGGUGAGUAACACGUGGAUAACCUACCUAUAAGACUGGGAUAACUUCGGGAAACCGGAGCUAAUACCGGAUAAUAUAUUGAACCGCAUGGUUCAAUAGUGAAAGACGGUUUUGCUGUCACUUAUAGAUGGAUCCGCGCCGCAUUAGCUAGUCGGUAAGGUAACGGCUUACCAAGGCAACGAUGCGUAGCCGACCUGAGAGGGUGAUCGGCCACACUGGAACUGAGACACGGUCCAGACUCCUACGGGAGGCAGCAGUAGGGAAUCUUCCGCAAUGGGCGAAAGCCUGACGGAGCAACGCCGCGUGAGUGAUGAAGGUCUUCGGAUCGUAAAACUCUGUUAUUAGGGAAGAACAAAUGUGUAAGUAGCUAUGCACGUCUUGACGGUACCUAAUCAGAAAGCCACGGCUAACUACGUG
This 497-nucleotide ribosomal RNA is filed under the name uncultured bacterium. RNAcentral describes it as "partial 16S ribosomal RNA". It matches the Rfam family "Bacterial small subunit ribosomal RNA", at positions 28 to 507 of the family's 1533-position model. The record is from RNAcentral.